CCAUCCAGGCUUGGUGAAAACAGCAUACUGAAUCUGAUAAUGAAACCAUUUUCCGCAGCUAAAAAGCUUCUGAUGAGUUUCAGUGCCCCACCCCCAUCAACCAGAGAAACCAGGCUCCGGAAAUACAUGCCUUCUCUUCAGCAAAUGCUGUGUACAUUGGACAUCUGAACAUGGAUUUGAGGAACAGAUGAAGAAAAAAAGAAAGAUCUGCUCACCUCUGAUAGUGGUUAGUUAUCAAAUAAGUAUGCAACAGAAGUCAAAGACCCUACUGUUUCUCUAAGGUACCAUGGGAUCGCUUAUAUCCACAUGAGCUAUCACUAACUCAAGCAGAUGGACCCUCUGUUUAACAUCUCUUCGCAUCUGAAGGAUGGAUAUAAAGAGAAUGGAUUAACAACAUGUCUGAAAUGAUUAAGACUAGACAAAGUUAACAAUGCUUUUGAAAAUUUUUUAAAAGAUUUUCAACCUAAUAUAAUGUACUAUGAUAACAUGAAGGCAUUAAUAUUUUAUUAUGGUUUGGAUGAUGAUGAUUUCUACUUUUCUGAAAAAAAACAAAUAAAAUAUAGACAGAUAGUCAAAAGAAAGAGCCAAUAUUGUACAUCAGCACUUAACAUUAAUAUACCAGAGGAUCACCUGCUUGCUAUACCAGAAUGUCAAUAUCAAUGAGCUUAGAACAGCAAGAGAAAUGCUAUGAUGUUUACAGAUGUUAUAAAUGACAAAAAUGACAGUAGAAUUGUAAUGGCAUCAAUGAAUCUGAAACUUGGUUCUGAAGAAUGUGAUAUAAGUUAUCUGCAUCUACAAUAAUUACAACAAUCAUCAGUGGUAUAUGAGUCCUACACAUCAGUAAAAUAUUGCAUCUAUUUGUGCCACUAACACAAAGAUGACAGCAGCAAACCUUAAUAAUUGCAUGAAACAAGUUCAACAUAACAUUGGGUUAUUAGCUGAAUAACAAUAGGAUGGCAGCACAGUGCUGGAAAUAAUUUAGAAUAAACUUUAUUUCAGUUUGUUUUGUAGGAUUAGCAUUAUCAAUCCUACUUUUAUUCCCAGUCUGUUCUCUGGUUAUCAGUAAUACAUUUCCUGAAUUACACACCAUUCUGAAUUAUGAGACUGCAUGGCUGCAUGACAGAACAACAUGGCGUAGGCCUCAGAGAUGACUAAUGAAGCCCACCUUACACACAACCAGGCUGAUUGAAGAAACUGAUGUUUUAGAAUGCUGGUAAUCUAGUUUGGCUUAAAGACAUUAUAGAAAUAACAGUGGUCACUACAGUACAUCAAGAUAAGAUAGACACAUAGGCUGCUAAAUACACCUUUUAUGAUGCAGCAGUCAGUGUUCAAACUGCACAAUUAAAGGGCACACAGUCAACAGCGUAUGAUCAGCUAAAAAUCAUUAAUGAAGCACUUCAGAAGUUGGAAGAACUAGAAAACUGGCAACAGCAUGAUUACUUCAUAGAGCUGGACAUAAAAAGGAAGGUCUGCAUAUGGUGCCCCUCUUGGAAGAAGAUUUUAUAAAAGCAUUGAAGCUACCUUGAGCUAUCCACAUCCACUGUCAGUGCUGAAAAAACUGCUCAAAGAAAUUGUAAGAUGUGCAACAAAAAGGAUAACAAAAUACAACAUAUAUGCUAAGGGAAGGCAAAUCAUUUCUGCUUAGUGUGUGUCAAAUCCAGAUCUUUCAAGAUUUUGCAAUGGACACCACAGAAAAGAUGAUGAACUAAGGUAUGCAAUAAAAAUAUUGUAUCUACAGUGCUGAAGUAAUGCUAGUCGUGUAAUGGCAAAAAAACACUGUUUUUUUUGUAUCCUUAAGCAACCUCCACAUAUUUGAUAUAGUAGUGGGUGGAUCCUAUGCCAGAAAAUUUGUCAAAGGUCAUUGUUAACACUGUCCUGAUUUACCACUCUUUGAAAAGAAUGAGUCAGUUAAGCAAGAGUGACAGUCUAAAACUGUACUGUCUUGAAUACUUGACAAGCUUGGAAAGCAAUGAUGAUCAAGGGGGGGGGGGGGAUCUGGAAGUUCAGUUAACCUCAUGAGGAAGACAUCAGUUCAACAGCUAUUUCAUGUAACAGUCAACAAUUCCUGUAUAAGAUUAGAAGUUACCACAUUAAAUUGCCAUGAAGACUCUUCCGAGCCAUGAUUCCCAGAAACAUGAAUAACUAAUGAAGGUGUAUCAUUUGAAUGGAAAAGGUUUUCCUGGCACUUAUAAUGCACCUGCAAACACACCUGCAAGCAUAAUA
Molecule: long non-coding RNA, 2223 nt
Organism: Protopterus annectens (West African lungfish)
Lineage: Eukaryota; Metazoa; Chordata; Ceratodontiformes; Protopteridae
Exons: 3
Source: RefSeq, a predicted model, not a curated record